This is a non-coding RNA of Schistocerca cancellata (South American locust), 73 nucleotides long. Lineage: Eukaryota; Metazoa; Arthropoda; Insecta; Orthoptera; Acrididae. The record is from the annotation of a RefSeq genome assembly.
GCUGUGGUAGUGUAGUGGUUAGCAUUUCUGCCUAGCAAGCAAGAAGACCUAGGUUCGAGUCCCGGCCGCGGCA